UUGACGGAAGGGCACCACCAGGGGUGGAGCCUGCGGCUUAAUUUGACUCAACACGGGGAAACUCACCAGGUCCAGACACAAUGAGGAUUGACAGAUUGAGAGCUCUUUCUUGAUUUUGUGGGUGGUGGUGCAUGGCCGUUCUUAGUUGGUGGAGUGAUUUGUCUGCUUAAUUGCGAUAACGAACGAGACCUUAACCUGCUAAAUAGCCCGUAUUGCUUUGGCAGUACGCUGGCUUCUUAGAGGGACUAUCGGCUCAAGCCGAUGGAAGUUUGAGGCAAUAAC
RNAcentral lists this ribosomal RNA (282 nucleotides) under Fusarium chlamydosporum. Its description in RNAcentral is "partial 18S ribosomal RNA". It matches the Rfam family "Eukaryotic small subunit ribosomal RNA", at positions 1153 to 1457 of the family's 1831-position model. The record is from RNAcentral. RNAcentral also lists the same sequence under 1 other name. Lineage: Eukaryota; Fungi; Ascomycota; Sordariomycetes; Hypocreales; Nectriaceae.